AUUCUCCUGCCUCAGCCUCCCGAGGAGCUGGGAUUACAGUUUUAGGACACACAAUAUUUGCUUUUGUCCACUUGGCCUGGACAUCCAAGAAAUUGGAUUCACCUGUAACACCGUCUACACCCACAUUCACACACUGAACAUGGAGAAGAGAUGUCACAAGAAGCCCAAACCGAAGACCCAUAACAUAACCUGCAAUGAACUUGCUAAAUCA
This 211-nucleotide long non-coding RNA is filed under the name Homo sapiens (human). RNAcentral describes it as "HSALNT0291927". Lineage: Eukaryota; Metazoa; Chordata; Mammalia; Primates; Hominidae. The record is from RNAcentral.